GUUUGAUUCUGGCUCAGGAUGAACGCUAGCGGCAGGCUUAACACAUGCAAGUCGAGGGGCAACGCGAGUAGCAAUACUUGGCGGCGACCGGCGCAAGGGUGCGUAACGCGUGAGCAACAUGCCCGUAUCAGGGGGAUAAUCCAGGGAAACUUUGGUCUAAUACCCCAUAGUAAUUUUGUAAGGCAUCUUAUAAGAUUUAAAGCUUUGGUGGAUACGGAUUGGCUCGCGUGACAUUAGCUGGAUGGUAAGGUAACGGCUUACCAUGGCUAUGAUGUCUAGGGGUUCUGAGAGGAAGGUCCCCCACACUGGAACUGAGACACGGUCCAGACUCCUACGGGAGGCAGCAGUGAGGAAUAUUGGACAAUGGAUGGAAAUCUGAUCCAGCCAUGCCGCGUGAAAAGGAAGAAGGUCCUAUGGAUUGUAAACUUCUUUUGUAUGGGAGCAAUAAGGCCUACGAGUAGGUUGAUGAGAGUACCCAUACGAAUAAGCACCGGCUAACUCCGUGCCAGCAGCAGC
RNAcentral lists this ribosomal RNA (516 nucleotides) under uncultured bacterium. RNAcentral describes it as "bacterial SSU rRNA". It matches the Rfam family "Bacterial small subunit ribosomal RNA", at positions 11 to 518 of the family's 1533-position model. The record is from RNAcentral.